Molecule: RNA transcript, 1799 nt
Organism: Schistocerca gregaria
Lineage: Eukaryota; Metazoa; Arthropoda; Insecta; Orthoptera; Acrididae
Exons: 3
Source: RefSeq, a predicted model, not a curated record
AAAGAAAGUUGUUUCUUUCUUAAAACACGUUUUCGUACUGAAAAGUACUCGUAAAUUUAAUUUUUUGAUUUUUUACUGCAGAGAUAGAAUAAACUUUGGCUACCGAAUGAAUGGACCGAUCUACGCUUCAAAAUGAAUAUUUGGUUGUCGUUUGCUUGGGUAUUAUUCCUUGUUUAGAUGUGGAUUUACCAAAUAUAUGUGAGGUGGUCAAUAUUUCUUGGGCUGUUGUUUCCAACUAUAGCAGCAGCAUGCCAAGUAGUUUCCAUAUCCAACGGGGAAUUAUUGACAUAGUUCAGUACUAUAUAUUUCCUGAGUAUGGACAGCUUGAUUUUCAGGACUAUCCAGAGUUGGAGUUUGCCUUACCUUUAUCUGACGUUCUUAUAAAGUUUGAGAAAUAUUUAGAAAAAAACUUUACCAGCAAAAACAAAUCCUUUGCGCUUGUUACUGAUGGUCCUAAUGAUUUUUACUUUUUGAGAAGUUAUCAAAACAAGCUUUGGUCAUCUCGUCCCGACUUUUGGAAUCGAUACUUUGAUCUGAGAGCUGAAUUUUGCAAGAAAUACAAUUUCGUCCCUGAAACACUAUUCAAAAUGAUUGAAUUUUUUCAUUUGCCAAUCACUGACAUGAAGAGCUCUUUCGAAGAAUGUACAGUUCUCGCCGCUGUCGUCAAUAAACUUUUGCAAAACGGGCAUACUUUUUUUAACUUAGAAACAGUUAAACGACUCAAUUCCUACUAUUAUGAAUGGGCACUAUCCCCAAAUACAGUCCGAAUAAUUGGUAUUUCUUGGGACACAACAAAAGAGAACCUUGAGGAAUUUAUGUUUGGACUAGAGAUUGAGAACUCCGUAAUUUGCUAUAAUAUAUCUGGUUGUCCUAUGGGUAAUGCUUUGAUUUGGUUUGCAAGUAGUGAAGAUGCUACAGCGGCUCUAUCUCGGUCUGGAAACUAUAUGGAAAAUUUACCAAUAACGGUUAAACCAGCGGCUGUUGGGGAAUUUGAAAGAGUACUAGCAAGACAAAAGGCAAUCAGACGACUUGUUUUUGGUCAUGUUCUUUCUAACUUUCUAGCUCUCAAACUGAAAGCUGAAAGUAGCAUUCAUACGACCAAUGAAGAUAAUGAACAACAAGACAUGUCUUUCAGUCAGAGGUGGUCUGCACUCACACAAGCCACAGAUUCAAAUCAGAAUAUGACAAAUAAUGAUUCGAGUCAUCGGCAUAACGUUCCUAGAAGUUGCCAUAACCUAUUCCAAGUGAGCGAAAAUAAUUCAGCCACUUCUGUUACUCCAUCUCAUGGCCGUCAAUCUAAGCAUGCGCUAGCCUGCAAAAAUACUCGUUUAUCUUUUUGCAAAAAAUUUCCGGAUUCCGUAGUAUCUCUACAGGGUCUUCCAUACUCAAUCAACGCUGAAGAUAUUCUUAAAUUUUUCGAAGAAUACGACGUAAUCGCAGACUCUCUUACAUUAUUAGUAAGCGAAAAUAAUCGGCCCUCAGGAGAAGCUUACAUCGCAUUUACUUCCCCCGAGGAAGCUAACCGUGCCAUUCAAGAAAAAAACAAAAAUUACAUUCACAACAGAUAUCUUGAUCUUGUGAUUUUGAAGCCAUAGAAAUUUUUAUGCUUUCUUGGUUUCACUAAAAUGCCUGCUACCUGUAGCAAGCAUAUGCGCGAUUAAAACACCUCAGCACCUUAUGUAUAAAGCAUUCUCUGAAUAGAACAGACCUUUGUCUAAAAAAUUACUUGUUCGAUUAACUAUUACCUACGUCAUAAUGAUUAUGAUUGAUAAUAAACGCUUAUGAAAAUUUUUUUCAGA